ACGCUAGCUACAGGCUUAACACAUGCAAGUCGUGGGGCAGCGGAUGCUUAGCUUGCUAAGUAUGCCGGCGGCCGGCGCACGGGUGAGUAACGCGUACCGAACCUGCCCAUCACACAGGGAUAGGCUUGCGAAAGCAAGAUUAAUACCUGAUGGUCUCAGUUGUAUGCAUGUAUGAUUGAGUAAAGCCUUCGGGCGGUGAUGGAUGGCGGUGCGUCCCAUUAGGAAGUUGGCGGGGUAACGGCCCACCAAUCCUUCGAUGGGUAGGGGUUCUGAGAGGAAGGUCCCCCACAUUGGAACUGAGAUACGGUCCAAACUCCUACGGGAGGCAGCAGUGAGGAAUAUUGGUCAAUGGGCGAGAGCCUGAACCAGCCAAGUAGCGUGCGGGAUGAAGGCCCUUGUGGUCGUAAACCGCUUUUAUCAGUGAAUAAAGUGCAUCACGUGUGGUGUCGUUGCAGGUAGCUGAAGAAAAAGGACCGGCUAAUUCCGUGCCAGCAGCCGCGGUAAUACGGAAGGUCCGGGCGUUAUCCGGAAUUAUUGGGUUUAAAGGGAGCGCAGGCGGGAGUAUAAGUCAGCUGUUAAAUAUCAGGGCCCAACUCUGUUAUGCAGUUGAAACUAUAUUUCUUGAGUACGCACAGGGAUGGCGGAAUUCAGGGUGUAGCGGUGAAAUGCUUAGAUAUCCUGAAGAACUCCGAUCGCGAAGGCAGCCAUCCGGAGCGUAACUGACGCUGAGGCUCGAAGGUGCGGGUAUCGAACAGGAUUAGAUACCCUGGUAGUCCGCACGGUAAACGAUGAAUACUCGCAGUUCGGCCUUUUAGGUCGAGUUGUCCAGCGAAAGCGUUAAGUAUUCCACCUGGGGAGUACGCCGGCAACGGUGAAACUCAAAGGAAUUGACGGGGGCCCGCACAAGCGGA
RNAcentral lists this ribosomal RNA (911 nucleotides) under uncultured bacterium. RNAcentral describes it as "bacterial SSU rRNA". It matches the Rfam family "Bacterial small subunit ribosomal RNA", at positions 33 to 933 of the family's 1533-position model. The record is from RNAcentral.